UUUGUUUGUUUGUUUUUUCUUGUCGCCGCUCAAGCUCGUCACGUACAGCAUAUUUAACGUGAAAUCAGAGUGCACACCCCGAUCAGUGGCCCCUCUCAGUGCCCGUCAGAAUGAACCCAGUGAAGACGGAAGAGAAAUGUCAGCCACAUACACCUGCGCCUGGCAUUCAUACACCUGUUUACCAGCAAUCCAGCUGCAACCAGUGUUUUGGGUUUUUUCAAAGAGCGCCCAUCCGGUUUCUGCCUGAGGGGACCCAGACCCUGCCGUCUAUGGCCAUGAACACAACACAAACACCACCGCCUCCACCAAGCACCUUUCAGUACUAUAGGGAGACGAUGAAUUGCAUGCAGCACUAUUGUAUGCCCCAAUUUCCAGGACAUCUCGACCAGUUCCUGCAUGAAGAGACACAGAACCUGUACACCAGCAAACCAAUACCACGGCCUCCACCAAACAGCCCUGUGGACAACAGGGAGACGCUGGAUGGCCCACAGACAAAUGGG
Molecule: long non-coding RNA, 500 nt
Organism: Xiphias gladius (swordfish)
Lineage: Eukaryota; Metazoa; Chordata; Actinopteri; Istiophoriformes; Xiphiidae
Exons: 4
Source: RefSeq, a predicted model, not a curated record